RNAcentral lists this unclassified non-coding RNA (182 nucleotides) under soil metagenome. Its description in RNAcentral is "partial internal transcribed spacer 1". The record is from RNAcentral.
UUGAAUCCUCAGGGAUGUCGCUGGCCAGCCCCAAAAGGGUUGGCAUGUGCACUCCGCCUUCAACCCACCUGUGCACUUAUCGUAGGUCAAUAGAGGGGAAACCCCUUUGGCCUAUGCUUUUUACACACACUAUUAGUAUCAGAAUGUAACACAGUAGACCGUCAGGUCGAAAAUAAACAAUA